Molecule: long non-coding RNA, 468 nt
Filed under: Homo sapiens (human)
Lineage: Eukaryota; Metazoa; Chordata; Mammalia; Primates; Hominidae
Description: non-protein coding lnc-CDH11-12:1
Source: RNAcentral
ACCAUUUACCAAAGGAUGCCUCUAGAGCAGGAAGCUUUGAGAAGACCUGGGGAGCCUGGAACUUCUAAGUCUAAACAAGGAACUGACUCAGCAGGGUCUGGCUAUCUUCAGAGUCUGAGGAGAGGCGCAUCAAAGGAAUGACAGCCUGGUACCUUUGAUGAAGGAACUGACAGGAAAUUAACAGCCUCGUGCAGGCAAGGACAAAGACAAGAAAAGGCCCAUUUGGGCCUCAUAUCUCUCUGGAUUGGAACCCGCAGGAAGCAGAAGGGGCUGUUUAAUCCUGGCUCCAGAGCAACCGUGAAGGCUGGCUUCCUCCCUUGAAGAAGAACAAGGUGAAGGAAAGAAAUCACUGUGUUUUCAGCUCAGCGGCCCUGUGACAUUCCUUCGUGUUGUCAUUUGUUGAGUGACCAAUCAGAUGGGUGGAGUGUGUUACAGAAAUUGGCAGCAAGUAUCCAAUGGGUGAAGAAG